This 253-nucleotide ribosomal RNA is filed under the name uncultured bacterium. RNAcentral's name for it is "partial 16S ribosomal RNA". It matches the Rfam family "Bacterial small subunit ribosomal RNA", at positions 524 to 776 of the family's 1533-position model. The record is from RNAcentral.
UACAGAGGGGGCAAGCGUUGUUCGGAAUUACUGGGCGUAAAGGGCGCGUAGGCGGCCUGCUAAGUCGAACGUGAAAUCCCCGGGCUCAACCCGGGAACUGCGUCCGAUACUGACAGGCUCGAAUCCGGGAGAGGGAUGUGGAAUUCCAGGUGUAGCGGUGAAAUGCGUAGAUAUCUGGAGGAAUACCGGUGGCGAAGGCGGCAUCCUGGACCAUUACUGACGCUGAGGCGCGAAAGCUAGGGGAGCAAACGGG